Molecule: long non-coding RNA, 202 nt
Filed under: Homo sapiens (human)
Lineage: Eukaryota; Metazoa; Chordata; Mammalia; Primates; Hominidae
Description: non-protein coding lnc-ETS2-12:1
Source: RNAcentral
ACUUUUUGGCUGUUCUGAAGAGUGUUACUGUGAACAUUCAUGCACAAAUUUUUAUGUGGGAUAACUUUUAAGUGGUGAAGAGUAUAAAUCGUGGUUUUCCAAGUGUAGUCUAAGGUCUAACAGCAUCGGGGAUAUCUGGGAAAUUAUCAGAACUACAGACCCUCUGGCUGCACCCCAAACCUGCUGAAUCGGAAAUUCUGAG